ACUCCUACGGGAGGCAGCAGUGGGGAAUAUUGCACAAUGGGCGCAAGCCUGAUGCAGCCAUGCCGCGUGUAUGAAGAAGGCCUUCGGGUUGUAAAGUACUUUCAGCGGGGAGGAAGGCGAUAAGGUUAAUAACCUUGUCGAUUGACGUUACCCGCAGAAGAAGCACCGGCUAACUCCGUGCCAGCAGCCGCGGUAAUACGGAGGGUGCAAGCGUUAAUCGGAAUUACUGGGCGUAAAGCGCACGCAGGCGGUCUGUCAAGUCGGAUGUGAAAUCCCCGGGCUCAACCUGGGAACUGCAUUCGAAACUGGCAGGCUAGAGUCUUGUAGAGGGGGGUAGAAUUCCAGGUGUAGCGGUGAAAUGCGUAGAGAUCUGGAGGAAUACCGGUGGCGAAGGCGGCCCCCUGGACAAAGACUGACGCUCAGGUGCGAAAGCGUGGGGAGCAAACAGGAUUAGAAACCCUGGUAGUCCCA
RNAcentral lists this ribosomal RNA (471 nucleotides) under uncultured organism. RNAcentral's name for it is "partial 16S ribosomal RNA". It matches the Rfam family "Bacterial small subunit ribosomal RNA", at positions 335 to 797 of the family's 1533-position model. The record is from RNAcentral.